RNAcentral lists this ribosomal RNA (585 nucleotides) under uncultured bacterium. RNAcentral's name for it is "partial 16S ribosomal RNA". It matches the Rfam family "Bacterial small subunit ribosomal RNA", at positions 355 to 1375 of the family's 1533-position model. The record is from RNAcentral.
UGGGGAAUUUUGGACAAUGGGCGAAAGCCUGAUCCAGCAAUGCCGCGUGUGUGAAGAGGCCUUCGGGUUGUAAAGCACUUUUGUCCGGAAAGAAAUCCUUGGCUCUAAUACAGUCGGGGGAUGACGGUACCGGAAGAAUAAGCACCGGCUAACUACGUGCCAGCAGCCGCGGUAAUACGUAGGGUGCAAGCGUUAAUCGGAAUUACUGGGCGUAAAGCGUGCGCAGGCGGUUUGCUAAGACCGAUGUGAAAUCCCCGGGCUCAACCUGGGAACUGCAUUGGUGACUGGCAGGCUAGAGUAUGGCAGAGGGGGGUAGAAUUCCACGUGUAGCAGUGAAAUGCGUAGAGAUGUGGAGGAAUACCGAUGGCGAAGGCAGCCCCCUGGGCCAAUACUGACGCUCAUGCACGAAAGCGUGGGGGAGCAAACAGGAUUAGAUACCCUGGUAGUCCACGCCCUAAACGAUGUCAACUAGUUGUUGGGGAUUCAUUUCCUUAGUAACGUAGCUAACGCGUGAAGUUGACCGCCUGGGGAGUACGGUCGCAAGAUUAAAACUCAAAGGAAUUGACGGGGUCAUAGCUGUUUCCU